UCCUACGGGAGGCAGCAGUGGGGAAUAUUGGACAAUGGGCGCAAGCCUGAUCCAGCAAUGCCGCGUGUGUGAAGAAGGCCUUCGGGUUGUAAAGCACUUUUAUCUGGAGAGAAAUNUGCAGGGCUAAUACCCCUGCAGUCUGACGGUACCUGAGGAAUAAGCACCGGCUAACUCCGUGCCAGCAGCCGCGGUAAUACGGAGGGUGCAAGCGUUAAUCGGAAUUACUGGGCGUAAAGCGUGCGUAGGCGGUUCGUUAAGUCUGUUGUGAAAGCCCCGGGCUCAACCUGGGAAUGGCACUGGAUACUGGCGAGCUAGAGUGUGAUAGAGGAUGGUGGAAUUCCCGGUGUAGCGGUGAAAUGCGUAGAGAUCUGGAGGAACAUCCGUGGCGAAGGCGGCCAUCUGGAUCAACACUGACGCUGAGGCACGAAAGCGUGGGGAGCAAACACGAUUAGAUACCCUGGUAGUCCACGCCCUAAACGAUGCGAACUGGAUGUUGGUCUCAACUAGGAGAUCAGUGUCGAAGCUAACGCGUUAAGU
RNAcentral lists this ribosomal RNA (537 nucleotides) under uncultured Lysobacteraceae bacterium. Its description in RNAcentral is "bacterial SSU rRNA". It matches the Rfam family "Bacterial small subunit ribosomal RNA", at positions 337 to 865 of the family's 1533-position model. Lineage: Bacteria; Pseudomonadati; Pseudomonadota; Gammaproteobacteria; Lysobacterales; Lysobacteraceae. The record is from RNAcentral.